UGGGGAAUAUUGGACAAUGGGCGGAAGCCUGAUCCAGCAACGCCGCGUGAGGGAUGACGGCCUUCGGGUUGUAAACCUCUUUCAGUACCGACGAAGCGAAAGUGACGGUAGGUACAGAAGAAGGACCGGCCAACUACGUGCCAGCAGCCGCGGUAAUACGUAGGGUCCGAGCGUUGUCCGGAAUUAUUGGGCGUAAAGGGCUCGUAGGCGGUUUGUCGCGUCGGGAGUGAAAACAGCGGGCUUAACUCGUUGCUUGCUUUCGAUACGGGGCAGACUAGAGGUAUGCAGGGGGAGAAUGGAAUUCCUGGUGUAGCGGUGAAAUGCGCAGAUAUCAGGAGGAACACCGGUGGCGAAGGCGGUUCUCUGGGCAUUACCUGACGCUGAGGAGCGAAAGUGUGGGGGAGCGAACAGGAUUAGAUACCCUGGUAGUCCACACCGUAAAACGUUGGGCGCUAGGUGUGGGGUCCUUUCCACGGAUUCCGUGCCGUAGCUAACGCAUUAAGCGCCCCGCCUGGGGAGUACGGCCGCAAGGCUAAAAACUUAAAGGAAUUGACGGGGUCAU
RNAcentral lists this ribosomal RNA (562 nucleotides) under uncultured bacterium. RNAcentral describes it as "partial 16S ribosomal RNA". It matches the Rfam family "Bacterial small subunit ribosomal RNA", at positions 355 to 922 of the family's 1533-position model. The record is from RNAcentral.